AGUCACUGACAUUAGAUACCCCUGUAGUCCUAACUGUAAACGCUGCAGACUUGGUGUUGGGAACCCUUCGGGGGUGCUCAGUGCCGGAGAGAAGUUGUUAAGUCUGCUACUUGGGGAGUACGUCCGCAAGGAUGAAACUUAAAGGAAUUGGCGGGGGAGCACCGCAACGGGAGGAGCGUGCGGUUUAAUUGGAUUCAACGCCGAAAAACUCACCAGCAGCGACUGUUACAUGAAAGUCAGGUUGAUGACCUUACUAGAUUUUCAG
This 265-nucleotide ribosomal RNA is filed under the name uncultured archaeon. RNAcentral's name for it is "partial 16S ribosomal RNA". It matches the Rfam family "Archaeal small subunit ribosomal RNA", at positions 718 to 982 of the family's 1478-position model. The record is from RNAcentral.